Molecule: long non-coding RNA, 445 nt
Filed under: Bos indicus x Bos taurus (hybrid cattle)
Lineage: Eukaryota; Metazoa; Chordata; Mammalia; Artiodactyla; Bovidae
Description: lncRNA (ENSBIXG00005019816.1)
Source: RNAcentral
GAGUCAUUACUAAGGUGCAGCAGUGUCUCAGAUGUCCACAAAUAGAUGAUGGAGGCCAGCCCUUGUCCUCAAGGCCAUGCAUGAAAUUCUAAGCCAGAAGGACAGGGACGACAGCUCACAGGAUCCAGCAAUGAACAUUUUCAAAGGAAUCAUGGCCUUCUCUCAUGGUACAGUGGAUAAGAAUCCACCUAGCACUGCAGGGAGCAUGGGCCCCAUCCCUGGUCCAGGAAGAUCCCACACGCCAUGGAGCAGCUGAGCCUGUGCGCCACAACUCCUGAGCAUGAGAGCCACAACUACUGAGUCCAUGAGUGCCUCGAGCCCACAUGCCGAACAAGAGAUGCCACUGUAGUGAGAAGACUGUGCCCUGCAAUGAAGAGCAGACCCUGCUCACCGCUGUUAAAGAAAGCCCAUGCACAGCAAUAAAGAUUCAAUGCAGCCAAAAGCA